Long non-coding RNA from Mesocricetus auratus (golden hamster), 1377 nucleotides. RefSeq lists it as uncharacterized. The record is from RefSeq and is a predicted model, not a curated record. Lineage: Eukaryota; Metazoa; Chordata; Mammalia; Rodentia; Cricetidae. The transcript is spliced from 2 exons.
CAAUAGACAAGGGACUUCACUCCCUCUGGAGGCUGCUGCAUCAGCCUGCUAGAUGGAGUUCCUACCAGUAGGAUUAAACAAUAGAGCCUUGCAUUUGCAGUUUGGGUUUCUGUCCUUCAAGAGAACAAGGAAUAUGGAAGAGAAGAAUUCUCUAAGACAUGGGGACUCAUUUUUGCUGUUCCUACUGAGACUACAUCAUCCCCUUUUGUUGGCACUGCAUGAAUUGCAGAAAAUUGGGCAAGAGUAAACAACUCAGAGGAAAUAUGUUGGCUUGGGAGAGUAAGCUCUGUGUUCCACCCAUCAGCCAGCAGCACUCCUAACCUCAGCAACCCUCAGAAAGCACCAGAGGGCAGAACCAGUAGCUGCCACAACUGUUACUGCACCCUGGAAACUUCUGUGCCAUCAGUAGUACCAGGUAUACCAUGAAUACAGAUGUCAGUUGCAUGAGUGAAUGUAGCCCCACAAUCAUAUACUCCAAUAUUCAGUAAGGAGAGCUGAGGAGAGCCCCAGUGUUAUAUCUGAUGCUAACAAGCCUCUCCUGACCAUAGGCACACUCACAAGGCAGCUCAAAUCUCCCUAGGAAUGAGUUUCCUCUAACUGUAAUAUGUCCCCCAAGAAACAUGCUAUCUGCUCCUUCAGCCUCCUGUCAGAGCAGUAUAACAUAACCAGAUACAGCAGGGCACCCAGUGCAUGGCCAAGGAAAAGUAGCACACUCAGUAGCCAGGAACCCAAUCUGGAACCAGGGACCCUCGCACCUGCUAGAAAUACCGUCUUGGCAGAACACUCAAGAAGACAGUACCUGAAUAGCAACUGAUAUGCCAAUAGCCACUCAACGCAAUCAAUGUUCUUCAAAGGCAGACCACGAGACAAAGAUUCUGGAAGUACUUUCAUGCCUGUAUCCUAACUGGCCCAAUCCUGAUGGUGACCUUAUUUCUCAAGAGUCAGGGAGCUCACACAUUGCUCAACACUCAACAACUAAGACUCCACAGAACUGCAAACUGCAGCAGCACAGGAAGAAAUCCCCCCAGUCUCAGCGAAGGCAGCAAAGAAUUGAAGUGACUAAGUUAAUGAACACCAUCCUGUUCUGACUCCGUUUUGUGACUGCUUAGAUAGUUUUUAGCCCUCCACUUUCUUUCCCCAAUGUUCACGUCUGCCUUGAUAACACAUUUGAGAUUUUCAUGGCCUUAUUAUCCAAAAUUGACAAGUUAUGAUCAAAAUUACUACUAUGCUCUAACCCCAUCAUUGAUGUAAAUUGUGGUCUUUGUUGGUUUUGCCUUUUAAAACUCUAUAUCCAUGAGCUUGGGCACCAAGAGACUUUUCAGAGGCUCAAGCCCAUUUUUGGUCUGGCCAUCAAUAAAAAGGACUGAAAACCUUUAA